This 187-nucleotide non-coding RNA is filed under the name Candidatus Gallionella acididurans. Lineage: Bacteria; Pseudomonadati; Pseudomonadota; Betaproteobacteria; Nitrosomonadales; Gallionellaceae. RNAcentral also lists the same sequence under 1 other name. The record is from RNAcentral.
GAUCAUACUGCCCAUUCAGGUGCCCUCAGCCACAAGGUGACGGGAGAAUCGGGAAGGCGGUGCAAUUCCGCUACGUGCCCAACGCUGUAAGGAUGAUGCUUCGGCAACAAGCCACUGGUGAAAACCGGGAAGGCGCCGCCUGCAGAUGAAUCCAAGUCAGAAGACCGGCCUGAAGAAUUUGCGCCCU